This 253-nucleotide ribosomal RNA is filed under the name uncultured bacterium. RNAcentral's name for it is "partial 16S ribosomal RNA". It matches the Rfam family "Bacterial small subunit ribosomal RNA", at positions 524 to 776 of the family's 1533-position model. The record is from RNAcentral.
UACGUAGGGGGCUAGCGUUGUCCGGAUUUAUUGGGCGUAAAGAGCGUGUAGGCGGCUUGGUAGGUCCGCUGUGAAAACUCGAGGCUCAACCUCGAGAUGUCGGCGGAAACCACUUGGCUAGAGUCCGGAAGAGGAGAGUGGAAUUCCUGGUGUAGCGGUGAAAUGCGCAGAUAUCAGGAAGAACACCUAUGGCGAAGGCAGCUCUCUGGGACGGUACUGACGCUGAGACGCGAAAGCGUGGGGAGCGAACAGG